GACAGAGGUGGCAAGCGUUGCUCGGAUUCACUGGGCUUAAAGGGCGCGUAGGCGGCUUUGUAAGUCCGAGGUGGAAUUCCACAGCUUAACUGUGGAACUGCCUUGGAAACUGCAAGGCUUGAGUCAGGUAGAGGGAGGCGGAAUUCCCGGUGUAGCAGUGAAAUGCGUAGAUAUCGGGAGGAAGGCCGGUGGCGAAGGCGGCCCUCUGGGCCUGUACUGACACUGAGGCGCGAAAGCGUGGGGAGCAAACAGG
This 253-nucleotide ribosomal RNA is filed under the name uncultured microorganism. RNAcentral's name for it is "partial 16S ribosomal RNA". It matches the Rfam family "Bacterial small subunit ribosomal RNA", at positions 524 to 776 of the family's 1533-position model. The record is from RNAcentral.